CUUUUUUUUUUUGCCUUCUCUUUUUUCUAAGUGGUAUUGUAAUAAUAGUCUUAGAAUCCUUAGAGCAAUAAAUUACCCUCCCCCCUACUCCUGCAAAAUGAUGGAAAGCAAGGAGGCUCAUGCAUUUGGAAAGCCCUUUAUUAUAAUGGUAGUCUUUAAUCUGCAAUUGAUUGGAGUAUCCGAUUGCUGGAAAGUUGAGGGACCAUGGACUAGAGAGAACUUAUGAAUUAUUUCUCAUGUUCAGGAACCAUCAUCUUGAAGUAUCUGUUGAUUUAGUAUAAAUUUCACUAGCACCAUUUUAAAUUUAGCCUAAAUCUGCUGCCCAUGUUCUCAUAUUUACCAUGUCUUUUAUUGAGCUGUGCAACUGAAACCACAAUCUCUCAAGUGUUGAAAUUCUUUUUGAUACUAUUUUGCGCAUGCUUAUUUAGUUCUGAAGG
Molecule: unclassified non-coding RNA, 437 nt
Filed under: Hevea brasiliensis (rubber tree)
Lineage: Eukaryota; Viridiplantae; Streptophyta; Magnoliopsida; Malpighiales; Euphorbiaceae
Source: RNAcentral